Molecule: long non-coding RNA, 735 nt
Organism: Camelus dromedarius (Arabian camel)
Lineage: Eukaryota; Metazoa; Chordata; Mammalia; Artiodactyla; Camelidae
Exons: 4
Source: RefSeq, a predicted model, not a curated record
CUCUUUCACUCAGUCUACUGAUUCAAAGGUUAAUCUCCUCCUGAAACCUCCUUACAGACACACUCAGAAAAUGUUUAACCAGAUAUUUGGGCACCCCAUGGCCCCGUCAGGUGACAUAAAAUUAACCGUCAUAGAGGCAAAGGAUGAAUAGUGUUACCAGAGACAGCCUUGUGUGAACUGGAGUACUGAGUUUCAAGAAAGGAUCUGUGAUCCAGAGAGAUGCAGCUGCUGUCCUGACAGCUCCCAGGCAGGGAGGGAGAGGGUAAUUGAGGAAGACGGAGAAGAUGGCGGGGUAGAAGGACGCUCGCAGGUCACCCUCUCCCACAAAUACACCAAGACCCACAUCUACAGACCCACUCAGCCAACCAGAGCACCUGUGGAACUCCGACAGAACAUCGCCCUCUUCAAAAGAUAAAGACGCCAAAAAUCUGGAAAUACUUAAAGAUAGUGAAGAUCUAACAAGAGAUUGAGAAAGCUUCAGACCAAGUCCAGAAGGCAAGAACUCAAAGACAGAGAAAGGCUCCUGUCGAAUCAUCCUACCAUAAAGCUUCUGGCCCAGCUGAAGAGGAUGGAAGUGGUAUCUUUUCUACAACAAGAAAUCUCUGAACUAGGUCCUUCAGCUUGGCCAGUGUCACACUAAAGGACAAAAAAUAAAGAAUUCGGAAAAUCUUCUCUUAGAAUAAUAGCUUGGAUCGCUUAACACUUGGCUGCAUAAUCCCUUUGAAGGACAAAAGC